This 493-nucleotide ribosomal RNA is filed under the name uncultured bacterium. RNAcentral's name for it is "partial 16S ribosomal RNA". It matches the Rfam family "Bacterial small subunit ribosomal RNA", at positions 29 to 507 of the family's 1533-position model. The record is from RNAcentral.
ACGCACGCUGGCGGCGUGCUUAACACAUGCAGGUCGAACGGAAAGGCCUGCUUUCCCUUGUGGAUUGCGGGUGCUCGAGUGGCGAACGGGUGAGUAACACGUGAGUGAUCUGCCCCCAACUUGGGUAUAAGCCUGGGAAACUGGGUCUAAUUCCCGAUAGGACUGCAGGGUGGUGCCUGUGGUGGAAAACGAUUUUCUAGUGGUUGGGGAUGAGCUCGCGGCCUAUCAGCUUGUUGGUGGGGUAAUGGCCUACCAAGGCGGCGACGGGUAGCCGGCCUGAGAGGGUGGACGGCCACAUUGGGACUGAGAUACGGCCCAGACUCCUACGGGAGGCAGCAGUGGGGAAUAUUGCACAAUGGGCGGAAGCCUGAUGCAGCGACGCCGCGUGGGGGAUGACGGCCUUCGGGUUGUAAACUCCUUUCGACCGCGAGGAAGCCACCUGGUUGGAAGGGUGGUGACGGUAGUGGUAGAAGAAGCACCGGCUAACUACGUG